Ictalurus punctatus (channel catfish) is the source of this 912-nucleotide long non-coding RNA. Lineage: Eukaryota; Metazoa; Chordata; Actinopteri; Siluriformes; Ictaluridae. The record is from Ensembl.
GGCAUACGAAGCUCCAGCAUGCGAAAAUGCAAAUGCAGGGACAAGCUCAGCAAGGUUAUGACAUAGCAGCACGUUUCGAAUUCACUUCAAAAUGCAGAUCAUAAGGAGCGAGACAAUAAAAUGCACAAGCAUGCUUCUCUGUGGCUUACUGCUAAUCUACUGCCAGAUCACACAUGUUGGGGCUCAAGACACAUAUGUGGCAGAGGUGAUGAUCGAAGGGAACGCAACCAUGGAUGUAUCUGGAUUCAUAUCUGAAAUGAUCAUGGACAUCACAACCACCACGUCCAUCGUGGACGCUGAAAUAAUCGGCGAAUGUGAGCUCGUUGGUGAUGAGACAACAUGCUGGUGUGAGCCUAAUUACAUUUGGAGUGACCUAGUGUGCGACACUUUCACUACCUGCUGCAACACUAUACAGUGUGUGGCGAAUGUCUCCGAUUUCACGCCGAUGUGUGUUCCCCAAGUGAACGUUACUCUUUAUGGAGUCCUCACCAUGUCCUCCGUAACCACCCUUCACACGCAGCUGGAAGCUGAGUUCAAGCUGCUGAAUGGGUUCAACACGUUCACCAGUCUAAUAAUUACUGGCGGUCAGACUUUCACUGUGAGUCUCAAUGCCACGUGUAAAUCUGCGAAGCUUCAAAACAUAAUCUCAUACAUGAUAACGACCUACACGUACAUUACAAAUUUCAACAUUACAACGACAGGAAUGGCCAGUAUCGAAAUUCCUCAGGGGAAGGUGUGUUAUAAUUCACAGUACAAACUGAACUGCAGCACAGAGGAAACCAUGGAGACGUGCACAUGGAUGAUUGCUUAUCCUAACCAGUACCCACAGAUAAUUGGGGUAGGGUCAGAAGUGGAACUACUGCCUUGUUCAAACCAAUCAUCAAUCAACCUUCUGAACAUAAAAGGGAAUUG